RNAcentral lists this ribosomal RNA (253 nucleotides) under uncultured bacterium. RNAcentral's name for it is "partial 16S ribosomal RNA". It matches the Rfam family "Bacterial small subunit ribosomal RNA", at positions 524 to 776 of the family's 1533-position model. The record is from RNAcentral.
UACGUAGGUGGCAAGCGUUGUCCGGAUUUAUUGGGUUUAAAGGGCGCGUAGGCGGUUCUGUAAGUCAGUGGUGAAAUCCGGCAGCUCAACUGUCGAUGUGCCAUUGAUACUGCAGAACUUGAGUACAGACGAGGUAGGCGGAAUUGACGGUGUAGCGGUGAAAUGCUUAGAUAUCGUCAAGAACACCGAUAGCGAAGGCAGCUUACUAGACUGUAACUGACGCUGAUGCACGAAAGUGUGGGGAUCAAACAGG